GAUUACUUAAGCCACGCGUACAGAAACUUUUUAGAAUGAAAGAGUUUGUUCGUUUGGCUCGAGUUAUGC
MicroRNA precursor from Anopheles gambiae (African malaria mosquito), 69 nucleotides. It matches the Rfam family "mir-375 microRNA precursor family". NCBI's taxonomy places the organism in Eukaryota, Metazoa, Arthropoda, Insecta, Diptera, Culicidae. The record is from Rfam.